Potamilus streckersoni is the source of this 73-nucleotide non-coding RNA. The record is from the annotation of a GenBank genome assembly. NCBI's taxonomy places the organism in Eukaryota, Metazoa, Mollusca, Bivalvia, Unionida, Unionidae.
GCUCCGGUGGACUAGUGGUUAGAGCGUCCGCUUCGGAUGUGGAAAGACGUGGGUUCGAUCCUCAGUCGAGUCA